Molecule: transfer RNA, 65 nt
Filed under: Loxopholis percarinatum
Lineage: Eukaryota; Metazoa; Chordata; Lepidosauria; Squamata; Gymnophthalmidae
Description: tRNA-Asp
Source: RNAcentral
GAGGUACUAGUAAAAUAUUAUAUAGCAAUGUCAACGCUAAGUUACAACUCAGAUUGUGUACCUCA